Molecule: ribosomal RNA, 112 nt
Filed under: Acanthosepion pharaonis
Lineage: Eukaryota; Metazoa; Mollusca; Cephalopoda; Sepiida; Sepiidae
Source: RNAcentral
UACGUUCACAUCAUGUUGAAACACCAGUUCUUGUACGAUCACCGAUGUUAAGCAACAUGGAGCCUGGUCAGUACUUAGAUCGGUGACUACUUGGGAAUACCAGGUGCUGUCA